RNAcentral lists this long non-coding RNA (502 nucleotides) under Equus caballus (horse). Its description in RNAcentral is "lncRNA (ENSECAG00000057151.1)". Lineage: Eukaryota; Metazoa; Chordata; Mammalia; Perissodactyla; Equidae. The record is from RNAcentral.
UGGAUCUUUCCUCCUUUCCUUCUCAAUGGAGACAUUUAUACAUUGACAUUGGCACCGGCAAGCUGUCAUGGAAAAGAGCACAAUCUGGAAUCAAACAUCGAUGCUGAGUUCCCCAGGCAAUCAGGCACAUUGAAUCCAAAGUCCCUCCGAGGACACAGGAUACCUGGAGUUUUUUUCCUUUGGUACAACAUGGAAGGAAGAGGCAGCCACAAUAAAAAGCAAUUACUCUUGCAGAAAUGGGCGGCGGCAAGCUUGCAAGCAGUGAAACCAGCCUGCAGUCUAAGAGGGAUAAUGGAGUAAGGCACAAUGGGGAAAGACAUGAGGAGACAAAUCCAAGAGGAAGAAAAAGGCAAAAUGUGAAGGAUUUGGGGACUAAUUAAAUAUCCAGUGAGAGUUGUAUUUAAUUUUUCCCUUUCCCCCAGGAAGAAAAACAGGAAAAGCCGCCAAUGGGCAACUCUCAGAAGAGGAAAUGCAAAUGAAUAUUAAUUAAAUUUAUUUAUUA